AAAAGUGAGCACGCAGAUGAAGGCAGACAGUGAUACUGUAGAUACCUCAUCAGACAACGACUGGCAACUCAGAGACUUGGGUUUUUUUUGGGGAAAUUAAGUGUUAUUUAAGUGUUGCUGUAUUGCAGGGUUUCUCACAGAGGUUGGGGACAUGGACAUGGGGUUCAGACAGAUAGUGUUCAUGUGCUUCAUUCCCUUGCUUGUUGCCUUGGGCAAUGGGACAGGCUUGCCCAUGAGACAACCAAGGGAAAAGGUGUGGGAGACUUUGGCAAAGGCAGCGGGUCUGGACAGCAUUUGCCUGACCCAUUCAGAACCAGGGAAACCAUUCUCAACAUGCUUGGUAGGUGUGCCAGUGGAAGAAUGGCCAAUCCCAAAAGGCAUCCCUCCAAAAGUUCUGAAGUCUUUUUCAGAUCCUGUGGAAGGAUGGCAUGUUUGGACACAGUUCCUUCCUGUGGCUCACUUUGAACCUCCAGAAUUGGACAUCUUUGGGUCAACAAAAAUGAAAUUCUGUAUUAAAUUUAACCCAUUGGGAGUGGCAGAAACAGAUAACCACAUAAUAGAUGUCACUCCAAACCAAAUCUUUUAUAGAAAUGCAUCAUCCUGGUGUAAUUACACCAAAAUGAUGAGCAAACAAUCCCUCCAAAAUCCAGCCAUUUUACCAAAGGUAGUGUUUUUAAUCUUCAGGGACAGAAUUUGGCCUGCUAUCCCGGCAAAAAUCAAGGGUGGCCCAUGCAGCAUUGGGGAACUCUCAUUGAUAACCCCUGAUUUGGAAAUUUUAAGGGAGCAGACACGCAGGGAAAAAAGAUCCAUUGAGCAAUACAGUCCAAAUUGUGAUGAUGAAGUUUAUAUCUGGGACAAGGCUCGGAGAAUUCCAGUGGCAAUUUUCUCACCCCAAGCAGCAUCAGGGGUGGCCUUGACACAAUUGGAGCACAUAGCAUGUUGGUUGAGCAAACACACUUAUCCCAUUUCCUCUGCACUGAGUGACAUGUUAACAGAUAUCGACAGUGCAAGACAAGCCACACUUCAGAACAGGGUGGCAAUUGAUUAUUUGCUGCUAUCACAUGGGCAUGGGUGUGAAGAAUUUGAGGGGAUGGGCUGUGUGAACUUUUCUGAUCACUCAAAAUCUACCCAUGAAAAUAUAAAGCAAAUACAAACCAGCAUCAGCAAAUUGAAAGAAGUUACAGGAUCCUGGUGGGAUGAUUUCAUUAACUUUUUUAAUCUCUCACCAUUGUG
RNAcentral lists this long non-coding RNA (1233 nucleotides) under Lonchura striata (white-rumped munia). RNAcentral's name for it is "domestica (Bengalese finch) lncRNA (ENSLSDG00000014468.1)". Lineage: Eukaryota; Metazoa; Chordata; Aves; Passeriformes; Estrildidae. The record is from RNAcentral.